UAAAAGGUCCUUUUCAGGGCCACCCAAAUAUAAAAAAAAAAAUCU
This 45-nucleotide non-coding RNA is filed under the name Mytilus galloprovincialis (Mediterranean mussel). It matches the Rfam family "Histone 3' UTR stem-loop". Rfam says of the family: The mRNAs of metazoan histone genes lack a poly-A tail. 3' end processing occurs at a site between a highly conserved stem-loop (modelled by this family) and a purine rich region around 20 nts downstream (the histone downstream element, or HDE). The stem-loop is bound by a 31 kDa stem-loop binding protein (SLBP - also termed the histone hairpin binding protein, or HBP). Lineage: Eukaryota; Metazoa; Mollusca; Bivalvia; Mytilida; Mytilidae. The record is from RNAcentral.